UGAUAAGAACUGAAACCUCCAAUAAUCAGAUUGGUUUUCCUCUGCUUCCUCUAUUCUGCUUCCUCCAUUUUUCUCUCCAAUUUCUCUAUAGUUUUACAACACACGUUAUCAGCACGAUUUCUCUAUCUCUAAAUUCAGAGCAUAAACGCUCUCUCUCUUUCUCUCUCAAAAAAAUGGCACCAGCAUCGGACUCCUUCAACCAGACCUCCAACACAGUCUGUGUAAUGGAUGCAUCAGGCCACGUAGGCACCACCCUCACAGAGCGCCUGCUGCAGAGGGGUUACACAGUCCAUGCUGCCCUUCGGAGCCAUGAUGAAUCGCGGUUGGGUGAGCUUUCUUGUGACAAAAAAAAAAAGGGAAGAAGCUCAAAGUAUUCAACUUAGACCCAUUUGACUACCAGAGCAUACUUGAUGCUCUCAAAGGCUGCUCUAGCUUGUUCUAUGCAUAAGAAGCCUUCUUAUGCUUUUGAUGUUUCAGAGGUUUGAAGCACAGCCAGGCCUUGGUUCACCUCUUCAAUGGCGUUCACCAGGCUUACUUCGUCAAAAGCCAUUUAGCCCAGGACCCGCCGGCGGGAAGCUGGUCGAGCUCUUCGUCGAGGAGUCGAAGAAGGGCGAGAAGAAGAUGGAGGCCACGUCCUCGCCCAGAGCAUGUGAUCAGUGAAGGCUGGUCCAGCCCUCUCCGUGGGUUCAUGAGAGAUGCCUUAGCCAAGCACAAGCCAGACUGCUGCAGCCUUGGGCCAACAAAAGAGUUGGAGGAGAAAGAGCUCCUGGCUCUUGCUGCUAAUAAAGACAUCUCAUUUAACUACACACCUAAACCAAUUGAAACUGUGCCUACGCCUGCAAAGGAAGUGAUUGUAUCUGAAGCGGCACCAUCUCGUCUCAGCACUCGGGAAGCUUGGGGUGGAGAAAAUUUACUGGUCUGUGGGCACCCAUCAGGUCAUGACUUCCAACCCAGGCCACUACGUGAUUGGCCCAGCAGAUGUGGGAGACGAGGAGAUGGGCCAGUUUUAGGUAGGUGGAGAGGGUGGGUGAAUUCAGACCAUCCGAUUUGGUGCAUCAAACAUUUUCAGUACUGGGAACCUACCAAAAUUAUGAAUUCCAUAUGAAUAAUGGGGUUGGGGGGUAUCGCAACUUUGUUGAAUAUCCUUUUUAUUAUUGGGACGUUCAGCCUUUUGCUUGCUUGACUUGGAAAUGUGAUCAAGCUGUAAAGUUGCAAGUUUUAAGCAUUUUACGUCCAAAGUGGCUCUCAUGUCUCAAAA
Prunus dulcis (almond) is the source of this 1258-nucleotide long non-coding RNA. RefSeq lists it as uncharacterized. NCBI's taxonomy places the organism in Eukaryota, Viridiplantae, Streptophyta, Magnoliopsida, Rosales, Rosaceae. The transcript has 2 exons. The record is from RefSeq and is a predicted model, not a curated record.